RNAcentral lists this ribosomal RNA (274 nucleotides) under uncultured bacterium. Its description in RNAcentral is "partial 16S ribosomal RNA". It matches the Rfam family "Bacterial small subunit ribosomal RNA", at positions 523 to 796 of the family's 1533-position model. The record is from RNAcentral.
AUACGGAGGGUGCAAGCGUUAUCCGGAUUCAUUGGGUUUAAAGGGUACGUAGGCGGAUAGAUAAGUUAGUGGUGAAAUCCCGAAGCUCAACUUCGGAACUGCCAUUAAAACUGUCUAUCUUGAAUUUGGUUGAAGUGGGCGGAAUAUGACAUGUAGCGGUGAAAUGCAUAGAUAUGUCAUGGAACACCGAUAGUGAAGACAGCUCACUAAGCCAAUAUUGACGCUGAGGUACGAAAGCAUGGGUAGUGAACAGGAUUAGAAACCCGAGUAGUCC